GAUGAACGCUGGCGGCGUGCCUAUACAUGCAAGGCGAGCGAACAGACGAGGAGCUUGCUCCUCUGACGUUAGCGGCGGACGGGUGAGUAACACGUGGAAAACCUACCUAUAAGACUGGGGUAAACUCGGGAAACCGGGGCCAAAACCGGGAAAUAUUUUGAACCGCAUGGGUCCAUAGGGAAAGGCGGUUUUUCUGGUACUUAUAAAUGGAUCCGCGCCGCAUUAGCUAGUUGGUAAGGUAACGGCUUACCAAGGCAACGAUGCGUAGCCGACCUGAGAGGGUGAUCGGCCACACUGGAACUGAGACACGGUCCAGACUCCUACGGGAGGCAGCAGUAGGGAAUCUUCCGCAAUGGGCGAAAGCCUGACGGAGCAACGCCGCGUGAGUGAUGAAGGUCUUCGGAUCGUAAAACUCUGUUAUUAGGGAAGAACAAAUGUGUAAGUAACUAUGCACGUCUUGACGGUACCUAAUCAGAAAGCCACGGCUAACUACGUG
RNAcentral lists this ribosomal RNA (496 nucleotides) under uncultured bacterium. Its description in RNAcentral is "partial 16S ribosomal RNA". It matches the Rfam family "Bacterial small subunit ribosomal RNA", at positions 28 to 507 of the family's 1533-position model. The record is from RNAcentral.